UGCGUAGGCGGGAUAAUAAGUCAGUGGUGAAAUACUGCAGCUUAACUGUAGAACUGCCAUAGAUACUGUUAUUCUUGAGUAUAGUUGAGGUGGGCGGAAUGUGUCAUGUAGCGGUGAAAUGCUUAGAUAUGACACAGAACACCAAUUGCGUAGGCAGCUUGCUAAACUAUCACUGACGCUGAUGCACGAAAGCGUAGGGAGCGAACAGGAUUAGAUACCCUGGUAGUCC
Molecule: ribosomal RNA, 229 nt
Filed under: uncultured bacterium
Lineage: Bacteria
Description: partial 16S ribosomal RNA
Rfam family: Bacterial small subunit ribosomal RNA
Source: RNAcentral